AGACUAGUUCAGUAAUCAUCACAAAUCACGGAGGGAAGCAGGAACCUGUUCAUCAUGUUCACUUGUGUACUUAUAUUGCUGACUUUAACUCAAGGUAACAGAGCUAAAGAUGCCAUCACUCCAUACAGUGAUGCAACAUUUGCCACUGAGACUGAGAGUGUUAAACUUUCUUGUAACUACACUGGUUCUGUUGACAGUCUUCACUGGUAUCGACAAUAUGCAGGUUCACCACCACAAUUCCUCAUACUGGACUACUAUGGAACAAAGACUCAAGCUGAUCCUCCAGUUUCUGGAAUAUCCAUUAGCCACAGAAAAGAAGCCAGCAGUGUGGAUCUGGAGAUCUCCUCUGCUAAAGUGACAGACUCUGCUCUGUAUUACUGUGCUCUGCAGCCCACAGUCACAGGAAACACUCAACACACCAUACAAAAACCUGAAAAACUUAAAGCAAAAAUUUGUAAUGAUGUCUAGCCAUCUAUAGAAUAUAUAAUUGAGCUAUUGAAUAACUAUUUGAUUAUUAAUUUACUGUGAGCUUUGUAUUCAAAAAUACAGAUGUACAAUGUUGAUUAAACCCAUUGGUAAUGUUUAUGAAUUUUAAAUUGAAAUGAUUAGACAAGAUGAAUUUAAAAUUGUUAGUCAGUAAAGUCACACUUUAUUCUGAAACAAACUGUCAUGCUUUUCUUUCACUGUCUUCUUGAAAUGAAUUGUUUUCCCAUGAAAGGCAAUAUAGUGUAAACCUGGGAAAACAUUUCUGUUUUGUGACAACAAAGGUUACCAUAAAUUCAUGUUCACUAUUUAG
Non-coding RNA from Rhinichthys klamathensis goyatoka, 796 nucleotides. NCBI's taxonomy places the organism in Eukaryota, Metazoa, Chordata, Actinopteri, Cypriniformes, Leuciscidae. The record is from the annotation of a RefSeq genome assembly.